Glycine soja is the source of this 776-nucleotide long non-coding RNA. RefSeq lists it as uncharacterized. The record is from RefSeq and is a predicted model, not a curated record. NCBI's taxonomy places the organism in Eukaryota, Viridiplantae, Streptophyta, Magnoliopsida, Fabales, Fabaceae. The transcript is spliced from 4 exons.
CGGGUUUACUGGACACCGUCGUUGAACUGAAUUAUUCAAAGAUGAGUUUUAUAAACACCGCCUUUGAACUGGAUUAAAUCUUUUUCCCUCUCCCGUAGUCGCACUAUACCCUACCUGACUCAUUUUGCACCUUUUGUCUCUCGAAGCUGGUUCUCGUCGUGAAGGCUUUCCACCACUGUCCUGGUUCUCGUCGAUGAUUAUACAUGCCAGGUCAUCGUAGUCCUUCACAUGCAGUCAUUGUGAAAGGUCAUUUUCCAUCACUGUUGCGCGUGGGUCCAUUUGUGUUUCAUUUUCCAAUUCUAUGCGGCAGAGGUUGUCAUUGGUUUGGAAUAUCUCCACUGUUUAGCUUUGGCACUUGAAUUUAUUGCUUGCCUCCAAUUGAGGCACCACAAGUCACUGUAGUUCAUCAGAAGAAGCACAAUGUACAUAACCAUCUAGCAAUCAUAUUAGGCAUAGUUGGAGGAGCCACACUGGCCUUUCCCUUGAUGUGUAUUUCGGUAUUGAUAUACAAGACUAAACAACAAUAUGAAGCCUCCCACACAUCAAGUUAAUCUUUUGUCAAAAAUCCGGCAUCAAAAUCUUGUGUCUUUGAAAGGAUUUUGUCAUGAAAGAAAGCAUCAGAUAUUGGUUUUUGAGUACUUGCCAUGUGAAUCCCUAACUGAUCACCUCUAUGGUACUAAUUGGUUAGACACAAAUUUAUUUAUGUCGAACUACAUCCAUUUGUAUCAUUGUAUGAUGUCUUCCAACAAUGCAAUCAGCAUGUGAGUUUUCUUUUU